Molecule: long non-coding RNA, 344 nt
Organism: Haliotis rubra (blacklip abalone)
Lineage: Eukaryota; Metazoa; Mollusca; Gastropoda; Lepetellida; Haliotidae
Exons: 3
Source: RefSeq, a predicted model, not a curated record
UUGUAUUGGUGUUGUCAAGGAAGGUGUUGCUGUAGUCAGUGUUGUAUUGGUGUUGUCAAGGAAGGUGUUGGUGUGGUCAGUAUUGUAUUGGUUUUGUCAAGGAAGGUGUUGGUGUGGUCAGUAUUGUAUUGGUGUUGUCAAGGAAGGUGUUGGUGUGGUCAGUAUUGUAUUGGUGUUGUCAAGGAAGGUGUAGGUGUGCUCAGUGUUGUAUUGGUGUUUGUCAAGGAAGGUGUAGGUGUGCUCAGUGUUGUAUUGGUGUUUGUCAAGGAAGGUGUUGGUAUAGUCAGUAUUGUAUGGGUGUUGUCAAGGAAGGUGUUGGUAUAGUCAGUAUUGUAUUGGUGUUG